CAAGGCGCUAACAGUCCACGAUGAGUUGCAUCAAGAGGAGCACUGCACGCAGGUCAGGAACGAAGACAGUAAAAAUGAGAAUGGUAAAGAUGAGACUGGGGAGAGCCACAGCACUGGCUCUGUUAGAUCUAUAACCAGGGACAUAGAGAAGCCUUGGGUGAGAACAGACAAAGUGGGACAAGAGGUCCCUUUUGAAAAUGAAGACCAAUCUUAUGCAAGUCUGCUGGCAGCAUCUCAUCCACAGGACAGCCUUAGUAACCUGAUUUACCAUGCGUCUCCACUGGAGUCUAUAAAAGAAUUGGAUGAGAUGGAUGGAAGGGAAGAACAAGUGUCUGAACUAGAGAGGAGCCCUGGAGAUGGGGCUGUUAAAAUCAAACAGCAGGACACUGAUGAUGGCUUCCCACUACAAUCUGAGAAGGAAAGGUGUGAGGUACAAGCUGGAUCAAAUCCUGGAGCUGUUCUCAUAGGGCAAUCAGUCUUUGAGGAUACCUUGGAGUCUACAAUCAUGCGUGACGAAAAUGAGCCUCUGGACCCAACAGGUAAAGAUUUGUUGCAGGUCACUCCUAAUGGUGAGCAUCACCAGAAGGAAUCACACAAGGCUCUUGUGCUGGCAGACGACAGGUGGGAGCGAGUGUCUUCACGUGCAUCUGACGAUAGAGAAAUUCAACAGGAACCGAAAGAGCACCACCAGUCAACAGAACAAUGUGGCAAAGAUGACAGAGAUGGUGUCAUGGAAUGUAAAGGAGAUCGACUUAGUCCUUCAGAGCCUUCUAUUCAGGAGCUGCAGGACCCUGAAUUGAAGCACGAAUCUUACCAGAGUGAAAAUAACAGACUGUGCAAUAAGGUGAAGGAUUCCAAAAUGAGAAUAAGAGAACUGGAGAAUGAGCUGUGCACAGAGAAGAGGAAAUCUGAGAGCCAUGCACACAGGAUCAGAGAACUGGAAAUGGAAAUGUCCAACAGCUCCCUAAUUGGCGUUCUGACCGAAUGCAAGACAAAGGUGGAGCAAUUGGAGGAGCUCAGAUAUUCAUCACGUGAACUGAUGAUCCAACUGCAGGAGGCAAACAGGAUUGCAGCGUGCCUGAAACAGAGGAUUUUCCACCUGGAGGAGGAGAGGAUGUUGAAGCAGCAGCAGCUUGUGAAUCUGGGAGAAGAACUCGAGGGUUCCAGGAAAGCUCUGGAGCAGAAGAACAGGGAGAUGGUCAAGGUCAAGGUGCAGGUCCAAGCCCUCAACGAAGAGCUCGAGAGGACACAAGACAAAAAGCUUUGUCCAGCAGAAUGCCUUUCCAACGGUCACACUGUUAAUCAGCCUCACAGACGAUCAAGAAAUGAUACUAAUGACUCCAAGGUUUGUGCACUCUUGUGAUAGCAGUUAAAACUAGAAAGGACAUCACAGAAUGAACUUUUUCCCCCGAGUGAAGUAAUUAGUUUGUAAAAGUGAAGUAAAAUUGAGGUGUGGGAGACAUGAGACAACUGUAAAGUGUGGCAAUAUCAACAAAGGUUCAUAUGUUGCACAUGAGGGAACAUUUCACAAUUGUGCCAUCUUUGGCAAACACCAGAACAUUUUUUGCUUAACACAAAUAUUCAUUUUAGAGUGCCAUUAUUUCAAAUACAAAUUUGGUUCAUUUGCAUAAUUUACUUGCUGCACAUAGAAAUACCUAAGAUUACUGGUCAAACCAAAA
Molecule: long non-coding RNA, 1679 nt
Organism: Lepisosteus oculatus (spotted gar)
Lineage: Eukaryota; Metazoa; Chordata; Actinopteri; Semionotiformes; Lepisosteidae
Source: Ensembl